UGCAGUCGAGCGGUAGAGAGAAGCUUGCUUCUCUUGAGAGCGGCGGACGGGUGAGUAAUGCCUAGGAAUCUGCCUGGUAGUGGGGGAUAACGUUCGGAAACGGACGCUAAUACCGCAUACGUCCUACGGGAGAAAGCAGGGGACCUUCGGGCCUUGCGCUAUCAGAUGAGCCUAGGUCGGAUUAGCUAGUUGGUGGGGUAAUGGCUCACCAAGGCGACGAUCCGUAACUGGUCUGAGAGGAUGAUCAGUCACACUGGAACUGAGACACGGUCCAGACUCCUACGGGAGGCAGCAGUGGGGAAUAUUGGACAAUGGGCGAAAGCCUGAUCCAGCCAUGCCGCGUGUGUGAAGAAGGUCUUCGGAUUGUAAAGCACUUUAAGUUGGGAGGAAGGGCAGUUGCCUAAUACGUAACUGUUUUGACGUUACCGACAGAAUAAGCACCGGCUAACUCUGUG
RNAcentral lists this ribosomal RNA (455 nucleotides) under Pseudomonas sp. RNAcentral's name for it is "bacterial SSU rRNA". It matches the Rfam family "Bacterial small subunit ribosomal RNA", at positions 56 to 507 of the family's 1533-position model. The record is from RNAcentral. Lineage: Bacteria; Pseudomonadati; Pseudomonadota; Gammaproteobacteria; Pseudomonadales; Pseudomonadaceae.